RNAcentral lists this transfer RNA (73 nucleotides) under Fistulina hepatica ATCC 64428. Its description in RNAcentral is "tRNA-Arg (TCT) (tRNA-Arg-TCT-2-1)". It matches the Rfam family "tRNA". From Rfam's summary of the family: Transfer RNA (tRNA) molecules are approximately 80 nucleotides in length. Their secondary structure includes four short double-helical elements and three loops (D, anti-codon, and T loops). Further hydrogen bonds mediate the characteristic L-shaped molecular structure. tRNAs have two regions of fundamental functional importance: the anti-codon, which is responsible for specific mRNA codon recognition, and the 3' end, to which the tRNAs corresponding amino acid is attached (by aminoacyl-tRNA synthetases). tRNAs cope with the degeneracy of the genetic code in two manners: having more than one tRNA (with a specific anti-codon) for a particular amino acid; and 'wobble' base-pairing, i.e. permitting non-standard base-pairing at the 3rd anti-codon position. The record is from RNAcentral. Lineage: Eukaryota; Fungi; Basidiomycota; Agaricomycetes; Agaricales; Fistulinaceae.
GUCCCCUUUGUCUAAUGGUUAUGACGUCAGACUUCUAAUCUGGAGGUUGCGGGUUCGAGUCCCGCAGGGGAUA